UAGGAGCGAGGCUUGCCCGCGAUAGCCACGACGCGGUUUGCCUGAGACACCUCAGGUUUUCCAUCGCGGGCAAGCCUCGCGCCUA
RNAcentral lists this unclassified non-coding RNA (85 nucleotides) under Pseudomonas chlororaphis. Lineage: Bacteria; Pseudomonadati; Pseudomonadota; Gammaproteobacteria; Pseudomonadales; Pseudomonadaceae. The record is from RNAcentral.